RNAcentral lists this ribosomal RNA (380 nucleotides) under uncultured eukaryote. Its description in RNAcentral is "partial 18S ribosomal RNA". It matches the Rfam family "Eukaryotic small subunit ribosomal RNA", at positions 592 to 976 of the family's 1831-position model. The record is from RNAcentral.
CAAUAGCGUAUAUUAAAGUUGUUGCGGUUAAAGAGCUCGUAGUUGGAUUUCUGUUGAGAACGUCCGGUCCGCACUAUGUGCGUGUAUCUGGUUCGGUCUUGGCAUCCUCUUGAGGAACGUAUCUGCGCUUGAUUGCGUGGAGCGGUAUUCAAGACUUUUACUUUGAGGAAAUUAGAGUGUUCACGGCAGGCAAGCGCCUUGAAUACGUUAGCAUGGAAUAAUAAUAUAGGAUCUUGGUUCUAUUUUGUUGGUUUCUAGGGCUAAGGUAAUGAUUAAUAGGGAUAAUUGGGGGCAUUUGUAUUAACGCGUCAGAGGUGGAAUUCUUGGAUUGCGUUACGACAAACUACUGCGAAAGCAUUUGCCAAGGAUGUUUUCAUUGA